UUAUGAAUAAAUUACUUUGUUCAAUAUUAUUCAUAUAAUUACUCCCAAUUAAUUGUACAUGAAAUGGAUGGAAUGCUCUUGGGAAGACCAAAUUGGUUCAAGAUCCAUCAAGAGGGAGAUGGACAUUAUUUGGACCCAAAUUUUUUAUCUUGAAUCUCCUUCCUGUCAAAAGUUAUCCUUUGAAUAUGAUGGAUGCUCAAUGCAAGCCACUAUAUGCACAAUAACGCUGCCUCGCUGUCAUUUGUUUUCCUGGUGGUUUAUUUGACAAAUGUAUGCACNNNNNNNNNNNNNNNNNNNNACAAUAACGCUGCCUCGCUGUCAUUUGUUUUCCUGGUGGUUUAUUUGACAAAUGUAUGCACAUUGCUAUUGCAACAAACAACAUCCAUCUCAGCUAUAUUGGAUGCAAUACAUGAAUGGCUUGGUGAAUUUUACUUUUACUGUUUUUUCUCUUUUUUCCCCAUACGGAUGUUUGAUGAGGUAGGAUCCAAUUAUCAAUACACUUAUUAUCAUGAUUUGUUAAUUGUGUCCAAGCAAGAUUAUGCUCUGUGCUGUAGUCAUGAUUAAAAUCUCAUGCAGG
RNAcentral lists this long non-coding RNA (577 nucleotides) under Phoenix dactylifera (date palm). Its description in RNAcentral is "long non-coding RNA (PDAC_LNC004421)". Lineage: Eukaryota; Viridiplantae; Streptophyta; Magnoliopsida; Arecales; Arecaceae. The record is from RNAcentral.